UCUCUCUCUCUCUCUCUCUCUCUCUCUCUCUUCCACCUGGAGAGUCGCUGUACCUGCGCGGCGCUCAAACGACUCCCAGAAAUUCGGCUUUUCUCUUCGUAACAUGCAGACAAAUUUAAACGCGUUGAAAUGCACAGAAGGUAGCUCGUUGUUUAGUCUGCAACCGUGAGGAUUUGCCAAUGGAAAGAUAAUUAGUGGAGCUGACGGGAGGCGAGGCUCUCUCGAGCUCUGCUGCAGUUCGACCAUACCGCUGUCACUUACUUCAUCUUCGGAUUAAAAGAUUUUCAAACCCGCAUCAUUCUGGACACGGCCUUUAAUUUUACCAUACAAAAACGAUGAAGCGAGCAGCUUUUUAAUAGCAACGACAGCAUCUUAUUUUUAUUAUAAUUUGAUAAUUUCGAGCAGUGUGGGAAUUAUUUCCUGAUCUUCAAGGCGCUCAUCUUUUUAAAAUAAUUCCCGUCAGUAGGAUUUCGUUUUGCGCAACCUAAAUCGUGCACGGUUAGCUAACCGUCAAUCAUAAAAACAUUUUAAACAUAAUAUUAACGAUUUUGAAUAUACAUUUCUGAUAUGUAACGCUACAAAAACAAUAACGAGAUUAAUAUUUUUUUAUAUUAUGUAGGCUACUUAAAUUCUGAGUAAAUUCUAACUUUUCUCGUUACUAAAACGUUGCUGAAAUGCAUAUAAUUAUUUUUUUGUAAUGGAUUUUACACCCUUGACUUCGGGGUUUGACUUAAAGUCGUUAUAUAGCCUAGCCUAUUCAUUUGGUAAAAAUAGCCUAUACUUUUUUCGUGUUCCAUCACGCAACGCCGUUUCUCUGAUUUACACUGUAGUUUUAAUUUAACUGCGUAUAAGCAUGUGACUCUGACACGGUGCGUUUUGAACUUUAUUUAUCAGUUCUGUAAUAGGCCUGUAAUUUAAGUAAUUUGAAAACCUAUAGCCUCAGUAAAAUACAAACAGAAUAUCUGAAUAGGAGCUAUACAAAAUAUAGCCUAUACAUACAGUCUCUUUAAUAUCGCAGUGUUUUGUCUAAUUUGUCCUUCUGUUUAGCAAGUGAGCCCACAGACUCUUAAACAAACACAUCUUUGGACCAAAUGUGACGUGUUGUGUCUGUAGAGGGCCAAGACAGGUGUUUACCUGUAUUACUGGCAGACAAAGAGGCUCUGUCUGCACUGAGAGAGAGAGAGAGAGAGAGAGAGAGAGAGGUGGGGGAAAUGAAAGAACUCAGCUGAAGAAAAAAAAUACAUCUAGAACCAGACUAAAUUGGUUUGUUGGUCUGAAUCGUUCUAAUCAAAGAGGAUUGUUGACUGGUUUUAAUGAAGUUUUGUGCACCUGUCAGUUAACCCAUCUAAAGCUAAACUAAGCUAAACCAGCACAGGACCAACUAGACCAGGCCAGGAGUCAGAUUAGACCAUCUUAAACCAUCUAAAACCAGUUUCGCCUUUUUCCCAAAAAUAAUAUUUUUAUGAUCAUUAGAAAAGAAAGAAACAAGAAAGAAAGCAGCCUACAUAUCACAUAUCAGUAUGUGAUAAUGCAUUGCCGUGGUUUAGGAUUUUCUCCUUGUGUGUGUCCCGAAGGUCUUGGGUUUUGGGAUCAGAUGACAUCAUCCAGAUGGCCAGUAAUGAACAAGCAUUCAAACGCACCAUUUCAUCUGCUCUAUGCCUGCAGGCCCUACCAGCUAUACGAGCAUCCUUUUACAUAACGGUCCUCCUCACUUAGCAGUCUGAGUCCAUCUUUGUGCUCAGCAUGUUGCUUGAAUUGUUGAAAAAAUAAUAAA
Molecule: long non-coding RNA, 1774 nt
Organism: Cyprinus carpio carpio
Lineage: Eukaryota; Metazoa; Chordata; Actinopteri; Cypriniformes; Cyprinidae
Source: Ensembl